Thalassophryne amazonica is the source of this 388-nucleotide long non-coding RNA. RefSeq lists it as uncharacterized. NCBI's taxonomy places the organism in Eukaryota, Metazoa, Chordata, Actinopteri, Batrachoidiformes, Batrachoididae. The transcript has 3 exons. The record is from RefSeq and is a predicted model, not a curated record.
AUGCUUUUUGAUUUCUACAGAUAAAAUUAUUCCAACUAUACUUUGAACAGGAUUUGGACUGCGACCACAAUUCAAACUAUCUAAUAGUUCAUUGUCCACGAUGAUGAAAACAGAACAAACAAGACCUUUGUCCUCAAGAUAAAACAAGGGUCAGCCUCACAAAACCUGAGUGUCCAGGUCAUCCACAUCAGGCUGAUACAACAAAGACACAAGAUGGAGAAACACUUACUUCUUCUGCUGGUGGCUUUUGCAACUUCUUGUGCUUCACCUCAAGAUAUGUCAGGCAAAGUCUUCAUCUUUCCGAAGGAAACCAACACAGAUUAUGUGAAAUUACUGACAAGUCAAACUACAUUCGAUGCUGUGACGUUAUGUCUGAGGUAAUCAGGUG